AGGUGACUUCAAUUUCUCCCUUGAAAUAUGUCUGUAUUCAUGAAGAUCCUUUUUCUUAAAUAAGCAAGGACUCCAAACAGGAAGAGUCAACAAAGUUCAUUGUUUAGUAACCAAAUAGCUGGAGGACCCAUGAAUCUGGGGAGCUGCUUCGACGACUGUUUUAAAAGAUCUUUAUUUGCAUCCAUCUCUCUGUCUCUCUCCUUAGGUUACAACCUGCUGGGAGGAUCCACGCACCCAAUUAACACCCCUCAUCUCUGAGUGGCCGCAUCACCUGUUAGGCUCGUGUUCCUCUCGUCAUCUACACGUGUCUCCAUCAUGGGAGCAUUCUUUUGCAAGAGCAACGUGUUCCUCUCUCAAUAGUUAGGAAGAAAUAAAUCAAGACGGCGGUCAGGCAGGAGAGACCUGCCAGUCACUGUGAUUCCUUCGGCUCCAGCACAUCCGCAUCCACCUAGGCGGUGUGGACACCGCCUGCAGCAGCCCCGGCCCCACGCAAGGAGCGCUGGCUCCCUAGCAGGUCCUUGGCAAAGGGCGGGAGGGAGGUGACGGGGAGGAGGGAGCGCCUGCUGUCCGGAUGCCAACUCUCACCUAGGGAGGGAGCAAUUAAAGUUUUCAUAACCUCAGGCAUAAGAAUGAUGCAAACUUGUAACAUCAUUUGGGAGUGUAUUUAUUUAAACUUCUUUUCCCUCUAAGUAGUUUUGCGACUGUUGAACGGUAAAUUUCCGGUUUUAUUGUAUCAGCACAUUUAUCAUUUACUUUCUUGCUGGCAGAGACCCAGCAAGGGGGACAAAAUUGGUUCUCCUUUGCACCUGGCCUUAGGCGGGACUCCCCUCGGACUUUCUCACGCCCGCCUCUCCCCGCCCCUUCUCGCACCCGGGACCUUCUGAGGCUGUCCCACCCCUCCGCUGGGCGGGGCUGGGGGUGUGGAUACUUGAUUUCUCUGACUCCCCGCGCUGCGGGAGUCUUUCAACUCUCACCCGCUCCCGGGAACAAUGAAGUGAAGUUCAGGUUUGAGGGCAAGUGAUGGCUCCCUAUUCCGGGUCAGAGGUGCGGCGGUGGUCCCGAGGUGUCAAGACUGAACGACCGGGUGCGACUGGGUCUUUGCCGACGGCGUGUUGCCUCCGCCAGGAAACGUGAAGACAGAAUCCUCUCCAAUAUGAGUGAAGAUGGAAGCCAGCAAGACAGAACACCCAACUAAAGGCCUACACCUCGAGGUUCAGGACCAAGAGGACUUAACCACCAUGACCCAAAGCCACUGAGGAGAGGCACGAAAUAGACUCUUGUAGGUACCUCACUCAAAUCCAUGGCGGUGCUGGAGAUGGCGACUGGUCACUUUGGACGUCACUCCUGACACCAUGUAAUAUUGAAAGGCAGAACUGCAAUCUGCAAAAUAAAAUUUGUACGUUUAUUGGGGGUCUUGGGAUUUGCAAUCUGGGAGACAGAGUCAACUGAAAUCAAAAGUGUGCUCUGGGGCGCCUGGGUGGCUCAGUUGGUUAAGCAACUGCCUUCGGCUCAGGUCAUGAUCCUGGAGUCCCGGGAUCGAGUCCCGCAUCAGGCUCCCUGCUUGGCGGGGAGUCUGCUUCUCCCUCUGACCUUCCUCCCUCUCAUGCUCUCUGUCUCUCAUUCUUUCUCUCUCAAAUAAAUAAAUAAAAUCUUGGGGGGGGAAAAAAAAAGUGUGCUCUGGAGAGACAAAGCUGAGGGUUUUUAAGGAGGAAAGAGGGCAUUUACAUAAGUUGUUUUGAAUGAAAUGUGACUGGUUGUUAAGAGUAGUGCUAGGUGUAAAGUCCAUUUAUGUUCAAUUCUUUUUUAAAGAUUUUAUUUAUUUUAGAGAGAGCAUAUGCCUGCAUGUGAGCAAGGGGAGGGAGGGUCAGAGCGAGAGAGAGAAUCUUAAGCAGGCUCCACGCCCCCAAUGCAGGGUUUGAUCUCAUGACCCUGAGACCAUGACCUGAGCUGAAAUCAAGAGCCAGACACUUAACUGACGGAGCCACCCAGGCACCCCCAUUUAUGUUCAAUUCGAACAUGCAGCAGAUGCCUUGGCUUUUAGCUGAAGUCAGCACCAAUUCUGAGAGUUUGAGACAGGAAACAUAGGUCCCACUUUUUCAGUGUCCUCCUGGCUCCAUUUUAAAUUACCCUCUUAGCAAUGUUUGCUCCAUUUUAUUCUGUUAUCAAAUGGAAGAACUUUCUUCCAGUGACUAUCUGGAUUCCUUCUCUUAUUCUGAGUCCUUUUAAGAGGCAAUAUAAAGUCAGAUCUGUAUCUCUGAAACAAAUAAUGCAAUAUAUGUUAAGAAAAAAAAAAAAGAAGAAGAAGAAGGUAGCAGGAGGGGAAGAAUGAAGCGGGGGAAAUCGGAGGGGUAGACGAACCAUGAGAGACGAUGGACUCUGAAAAACAAACUGAGGGUUCUAGAGGGGAGGGGGUUGGGAGGAUGGGUUAGCCUGGUGGUGGGUAUUGAGGGCACAUUCUGCAUGGAGCACUGGGUGUUAUGCACAAACAAUGAAUCAUGGAACACUACAUCUAAAACUAAUGAUGUAAUGUAUGGGGAUUAACAUAAGAAUAAAAAAAAAAGAGGCAAUAUAAAGUAGUAAUAAAAUGAUAAUGAAUUCGUUGUAAGAUCUGAGCUCAACUUUGCCACCAAUUGGUUGUGGUUUUAAGUCAUUUAUAUUUCUUGGAUCGUAGCUUCAUCACUAAGAAGAGAGGAUAAGAUUAGUGGACUUCCAAGAAGACCUCUUUCCGCUCACAUAGGACUGGUGUGGUUAAUUUUUAAAUUACAAGUAGGUUAUGCGCCUCUCCGCAAAUGUAGCUAUAAACCUUUUACAGAAGGAAAUAGUGGACGGUGUCCUUGUUUGGGCACUAUGCUCAAAAAGCACAUGAGAAGUUAAUUUUAGAGGAGGGGAAAUGGGAAUAUGGAUUCAGAGAAAUCUUUUUUUUUUUUAAUUUAUUCAUUUGUCAGAGAGAAAGAGAGCACAGGCAGAGGGAGAAGCAGGCUCCCUGCUGAGCAAGAAGCCCGAUGCAGGACUCAAUCCCAGGACCCUGGGAUCACGACCCAAGCUGAAGGCAGACACCUAAGCAACUGAGCCACCCAGGCGAUCCGGAUUCAGAGGAAUCUUAACAUGGAUAGCAGUGAAGCUGCUGACCAAGGUCACAUCUUCUCAGUGAACCCAGAAACAAGAAGUGAGAAAUGGUUUUUUACCUUAAGUCAGGGGUGUAUUUCAUCUUGCUACCACGACGGCCACCAGCCCUGCCUCCACAGAGAACUGUCAUGAAAAUAAUCAGGAACUCUGAACUUCUGAGUGUCUGAGACUUCAGCAAGCAAAUAAUCCUCCAUUUAACAUGUAUUAUUAUUUAAGGCCUUCCUGAAACUGUACAUUCAUAGUGGUGAUAAAUGCACAGAAGUGAAUUCAGAACCUGACCACAAGUUCAAGAUGAGCUUCAAGGAAUAAAAAUUCAAAGACCUUGGAACAGAAUUCCAGCAACAUCAGACCAAGGUAAUGAAGCUACAUAGACUUUUUGUCCUGUCACACUGAGUUCAAUGGUAGAGAAUAAUCUAGGGGCGCCGGGGUGGCUCAGUUGGUUAAGCAUCUAUCUGACUCUUGGUUUUAGCUCAGGUCAUGAUCUCAGGGUCCUGGGAUCCAGGCCAGUAGGGCUCUGCACUUAGCAGGGAGUCUGCUUGAGGUUCUUUCUCUCCCUCAGUGUCAUCUUCUCCCUCCCUCCAGCUCGUGCACACUCUGUCUCAAAUAAAUAAAAGAAAAUGAUCUUGUCAGAUGGAAGGAAAAUGUGACCACAACCAGACUUGCAAUUACGCAUUUUAGUUUCAAUAACUCUACAAAUAAGAUUUUUCAAAACAACGUAUCUUUUUCAGGUGGGGAAAAAGCUCAUUAAAUUGGCCUGGAUAUUGCUGAGAGGAAAUUUUCAUGAUGAUUUGAAAAAUUGGGUCCAUGGUUAAUUCCUUGCAAAAAGAAAAUCCUCAAUAAUUUUAAUAAUUCCAGAAGCUUUUUACAACUCUUUAAACCUCAACUACCAUCAUGUCAAAAAAGGAAAUGUAGGUGGAUAUAUAAAGUUAUCUAUGCCAAAAUAUCCCAUUACACUUAAAAUCUUUAUUAGGAGGUCUAAGCUUUAGAACUGAUUAAAUCCAAGACAUUGCAUCAGUCACUUAAAUUCCUAGUUUGGUAACUCUUUUUAAGUAGUGAGAUCAAACUAGUUUUCCUAACUACAUUACAUUAUGGACUCCUAAUGACGAUCAAAAGUGAGGAAAAAUUUUUGAUAAGCAUGGUUCCUAUGCAAAUGGAUAUUACUUAUUUUUAGUUAUUGGUAUUAGAAAACAGCUCAGUCCCCACUGCUGUAAGACGGACUCUUGGCGCUCUGCUCCCUUAGGGAUCAACCCAUGACCUUGUAUUAUCCAUAUGUGAACCAACUAGUCUAACAGUCCCAGCCGGAUAGAGGAAUUCCCUUUUGCAUAGGUUUAUCAUGAAAUCUAGGUUUUCAUUAUUUUGCAGUACUAUUUCACAAGGCUUUUGAUGAGGAGGCCAGCUCUCCUAGUAUCAGAGUGUUAGCGGAAGUAGUCACUGUGUAGUGUUUAAAGUGCUCAUCGAAUAUCUAUACAAGUCCUUUGCAUGUACUGUCACUGAAUGCUGAUAAAUUGAUAUGCAGUAUAUAAUCUGUAAAGUCACAAGUGUCUAUUGCUGUGCACUCUGGGCUGCAUAUUCUAUUAAAAGUAUUUAAACAUUGAAUUAUUUAUAUUAUAGGAACAUGGACUUGGAGGUUGCUCAUAAAUUCCAGGACCUCCCUGCCACCGGCUCUCCCAGCACCACCUCUACCCCUAGGAAUUGCUCCUCCUCCUCCAACUCCUUUACCUCUACUAACUGGUAUAUUAUUUUUUUUUUAAGAUUUUAUUUAUUUAUUUGACAGAGAGAUCGCGAGAGCAGGAACACAAGCAGGGAGAGCGGGAGAGGGAGAAGCAGGCUUCCCCGCGGAGCAGGGAGCCCGAAGCGGGGCUCGAUCCCAGGACCCUGGGAUCAUGACCUGAGCCAAAGGCAGACGCUUAACAACUGAGCCCACCCAGGAGCCCCUACUAACUGGCAUAUUAUAUCCACUAUUACCUUUGUUCAGGGAUGUCCUGCUCCAUAUUCAUACUGUCUGCUCUAAAUUAUGAAACAAAGCAGAAAUAAAUAUAUAAACCUGAACUCCAUGUAUUGAUUCUUGAAUAGCAGCACUAGAUUCUCCAGACUGGAGUCUAAUAAUCAAAGGCAAAAACCCUGACUAGAGGUUUUUCCACAAAGUCAAAUGAUCAAAGGGCAUCUUCUAGGCACUGGUUGUCAUUAAUGUGCAAGUAACUGCAUAGCUGUGUACAAGUAUGGUAUGAUGUUAAGAGAAUAUGAUUGCUGACUCUUUCCCUUUGUGAACUCACCAUCUUACGUUUCUUUUUCAGUACAGUAUCUAAAUAAUUGGAAAUGCAAUAGGGAACAUGAAAUUCGUGUAGAAGGUAAAAAGGAAUUAAAGUGGUGUAAGGAUAAUUGUAUUAGUUUCUUAGGGCUGCCACAACAAAUUACCACAAACUGAGUGGUUUGUAACAACAAAAAUUUCUCUCUCACAGUUCUGGGGGGCAGAAGAAUUGAGGUGUUGGUAGGGCCACAUUCCCUAGAAGCUACAGGAGACAAUUUCUUCCUUGCCUUUUCCACCUUCCAGAACUUUUGGCAUCCCUUGGUUCAUGGCCAUAUAUCUCUGUUCUAUCUUCACAUUGCCUUUUCUUUCUAGUGUCUGUGUGUAAGCUUCCAUCGACCAGAAGUAGAUACAUGUGGUUGCAUUUAUGGCCAACACUACCAUGUUUGCAUGUUGAUCUUAUAUUCUGCACCUUUGAAAAAUUCAUUAUCAGGAUUUGACAUGGUGACCUACAGUAUUAUCAAGUGUACAUUUGAGUGACAAAACAAACCAAUUAAAAGUCAUGGGUCAGGGGCGCCUGGGUGGCUCAGUUGUUGGGCGUCUGCCUUCGGCUCAGGUCAUGAUCCCAGGUCCUGGAAUCAAGCCCCGCAUCGGGCUCCCUGCUCAAUGGGUAGUCUGCUUCUCCCUCUCCCACUCCCCAGGCUUGUGUUCCCUCUCUCGCUGUGUCUCUCUCUAUUAAAUAAAUAAAUAAAAUCUUUUUUUUAAAAAAGGGUAUUUUGUCAAGGGGUUAUUCUGCAUCAAUUGAGAUGAUCACGUGGGUUUUCACCUUCGUUCUAUUUUACAUGGAUUAAUUUCCUCAUGUUCAUCCACCCUUGCAUUCUCGCAGUAAAACUCAUUUGAUCUUGGUAUAUAAUCUUUCUUUAAAUAUGCUUGGAUUAUGUUUGCUAGUAUUUUGCUGAGGAUUUUUAUGUGUAUAGUCAGACAAGAUAUUGGCCUGUAGUUUUCUUGUGUUAUUUUUGCCUGGCUUUGGUACCAGGGUAAUGCUGGUCUCAAAGAAUGACAUAGGAUGCUAUGACAGUUAAUCUCAUGUGUGAACAUGGCUAAGCCAUGGCACCUAGAUGUUUGGUCCAACACCAAUCUAAAUGGUGACGUGAAGGUAUUUUUAGAUGAGAUUAACAUUUCAAUCAUUAAAUCAGAUUACUAUCUACAAGACAGGUGAGCUUUAUCCAAUUAGUUGAAGGCCAUAGGAGAAAAACAAUAGAAGUCCCACAAAGAAGAGGGAAUUCUACCUCCACUCUGCCAUAACACUCCAUCUCAUGGAUCUCAAGCAUGCCAGCCUGCCGUGCAGAUUUUGUACUUCUCAGCCUCAACUAUCACACAAACCAAUUUCAUAAAAUAAAUCUCUCCAUUUCUCUAUAUGGCUCAAUUUCUCUGGGGAGCCCUAAUACAGAUGUGUUCCCAAUUUAUUAGAAGAUUUGAGGAUUAGUGCCAAUUACUCUUUAAGUGGUGAAAUUUCCCAGUGAUGACAUCUUGUCCUGGAAUUGUAUGUGAUAGGAGAUUUUUAACUACUUAAUCAAAAUAUGUAACUGCUAAAGGUCUGUUAAGAUCAUCUAUACAUUCUUGAGUCAGCUUUGGGUACCUUGUGUCUUUCUACUAAUUUUACCUUAUUAUUUAAUUGUUGAGUACAGUUGUUCAUAAUACAAUCCAGUCACUCAUCUGAUUUCUCUGACAUAGGCCAUAAAUGUCCCCUUACCUUACAUUUUUAACUUCAGUUAUUUCUAUUUUCUCCAUUCAGUCUAGCUAAAGAUCUAUCAAUUUAAUCUUUUCAAAGAACUGACUUUUAGUUUUCUUCUCCUAUUCUGUAUUUCCUUUAUCCUUGCCUUAAUUAUUUCCUUCUCUCUGCUUUUGCUUUGUGUUAGCUUGCUGAUCUUCUGAUUUCUAAGAUUAAAAAUCAACAGUUAGGUUGUUGAUUUAAAGUCUCCUCUUUUUUUAAAAUACAUGUUCAUACAAUUAUAAUUCCCUCUGAGUACUGCUUUAACUGCAGUAUAUACUGUACAAUUCACUUCUUUAAAGUGAACAAUUCAGUGGUUUUUAGCAUAUUCAGAGUAGUAUACACAUCAGCGAAAAUCAAUUCAGAAAGUACCCCAGCCCCAGACUCAUUACCAGGCUUUCCCAUUUCCCACCAACCCAAUUUUAUCACAAAUGACAUGGACAUUUCAAGCCCUAAACACUGGCUCACAAUGAUGAAGGCCAUUUUCCUUUGGAACUGCCUUGCAAGCUCCAUCUCAGCCGAAGGCUUUUAAAGCUUAUUAAGUAAGCAAGGGAGAGAAACAAAACAAGACCUGCACCCCUACCCCCUACCAAUGGUGUACCCUGACCCAAAGAAUUCAGAGUCCUAUAUCCUUAGGAUCCUUCUCUAUAAAUGGAUCCUCAACUGACCAGCAGGUCAUGUGACAUGCAGGUAAAUGGGCACC
Molecule: long non-coding RNA, 7845 nt
Organism: Mirounga angustirostris (Northern elephant seal)
Lineage: Eukaryota; Metazoa; Chordata; Mammalia; Carnivora; Phocidae
Exons: 3
Source: RefSeq, a predicted model, not a curated record